AGGACGAACGCUGGCGGCGUGCUUAACACAUGCAAGUCGAGCGGAAAGGCCCUUCGGGGUACUCGAGCGGCGAACGGGUGAGUAACACGUGAGCAACCUGCCCCUGGCUCUGGGAUAGCUCCGGGAAACCGGGAUUAAUACCGGAUAUGACCCCCUUCUGCAUGGUGGGGGGUGAAAGUUUUUCGGCUGGGGAUGGGCUCGCGGCCUAUCAGCUUGUUGGUGGGUGAUGGCCUACCAAGGCGACGACGGGUA
Molecule: ribosomal RNA, 252 nt
Filed under: uncultured bacterium
Lineage: Bacteria
Description: partial small subunit ribosomal RNA
Rfam family: Bacterial small subunit ribosomal RNA
Source: RNAcentral